CUACAGGCUUAACACAUGCAAGUCGAGGGGCAGCAUGGUCUUAUCUUGCUAAGACUGAUGGCGACCGGCGCACGGGUGAGUAACACGUAUCCAACCUGCCGUCUACUCUUGGACAGCCUUCUGAAAGGAAGAUUAAUACAAGAUGGCAUCAUGAGUCCGCAUGUUCACAUGAUUAAAGGUAUUCCGGUAGACGAUGGGGAUGCGUUCCAUUAGAUAGUAGGCGGGGUAACGGCCCACCUAGUCUUCGAUGGAUAGGGGUUCUGAGAGGAAGGUCCCCCACAUUGGAACUGAGACACGGUCCAAACUCCUACGGGAGGCAGCAGUGAGGAAUAUUGGUCAAUGGGCGAGAGCCUGAACCAGCCAAGUAGCGUGAAGGAUGACUGCCCUAUGGGUUGUAAACUUCUUUUAUAAAGGAAUAAAGUCGGGUAUGGAUACCCGUUUGCAUGUACUUUAUGAAUAAGGAUCGGCUAACUCCGUGCCAGCAGCCGCGGUAAUACGGAGGAUCCGAGCGUUAUCCGGAUUUAUUGGGUUUAAAGGGAGCGUAGAUGGAUGUUUAAGUCAGUUGUGAAAGUUUGCGGCUCAACCGUAAAAUUGCAGUUGAUACUGGAUAUCUUGAGUGCAGUUGAGGCAGGCGGAAUUCGUGGUGUAGCGGUGAAAUGCUUAGAUAUCACGAAGAACUCCGAUUGCGAAGGCAGCCUGCUAAGCUGCAACUGACAUUGAGGCUCGAAAGUGUGGGUAUCAAACAGGAUUAGAUACCCUGGUAGUCCACACGGUAAACGAUGAAUACUCGCUGUUUGCGAUAUACUGCAAGCGGCCAAGCGAAAGCGUUAAGUAUUCCACCUGGGGAGUACGCCGGCAACGGUGAAACUCAAAGGAAUUGACGGGGGCCCGCACAAGCGGAGGAACAUGUGGUUUAAUUCGAUGAUGCGCGAGGAACCUUACCCGGGCUUAAAUUGCAGAUGAAUUACGGUGAAAGCCGUAAGCCGCAAGGCAUCUGUGAAGGUGCUGCAUGGUUGUCGUCAGCUCGUGCCGUGAGGUGUCGGCUUAAGUGCCAUAACGAGCGCAACCCUUGCUGUCAGUUACUAACAGGUUCCGCUGAGGACUCUGACAAGACUGCCAUCGUAAGAUGUGAGGAAGGUGGGGAUGACGUCAAAUCAGCACGGCCCUUACGUCCGGGGCUACACACGUGUUACAAUGGGGGGUACAGAGGGCCGCUACCACGCGAGUGGAUGCCAAUCCCCAAAACCUCUCUCAGUUCGGACUGGAGUCUGCAACCCGACUCCACGAAGCUGGAUUCGCUAGUAAUCGCGCAUCAGCCACGGCGCGGUGAAUACGUUCCCGGGCCUUGUACACACCGCCCGUCAAGCCAUGGGAGCCGGGGGUACCUGAAGUGCGUAACCGCGAGGAGCGCCCUAGGGUAAAACUGGUGACUGG
RNAcentral lists this ribosomal RNA (1434 nucleotides) under uncultured organism. Its description in RNAcentral is "SSU rRNA". It matches the Rfam family "Bacterial small subunit ribosomal RNA". The record is from RNAcentral.